GACGAACGCUGGCGGCGUGCUUAACACAUGCAAGUCGUACGGUAAGGCCCUUUCGGGGGUACACGAGUGGCGAACGGGUGAGUAACACGUGAGUAACCUGCCCACAACUUUGGGAUAACGCUAGGAAACUGGUGCUAAUAAUGGAUAUGUGCUCCUGCUGCAUGGUGGGGGUUGGAAAGCUCCGGCGGGUGUGGAUGGACUCGCGGCCUAACAGCUUGUUGGUGGGGUAGUGGCCUACCAAGGCGGGGACGGGUAGCCGGCCUGAGAGGGUGACCGGCCACAUUGGGACUGAGAUACGGCCCAGACUCCUACGGGAGGCAGCAGUGGGGAAUAUUGCACAAUGGGCGCAAGCCUGAUGCAGCAACGCCGCGUGCGGGAUGACGGCCUUCGGGUUGUAAACCGCUUUCAGCAGGGACGAAGCUUUUUGUGACGGUACCUGCAGAAGAAGCACCGGCUAACUACGUG
Molecule: ribosomal RNA, 465 nt
Filed under: uncultured bacterium
Lineage: Bacteria
Description: partial 16S ribosomal RNA
Rfam family: Bacterial small subunit ribosomal RNA
Source: RNAcentral